AAGAGAUGGCGACCGGCGCACGGGUGAGUAACACGUAUCCAACCUGCCGAUAACUCCGGAAUAGCCUUUCGAAAGAAAGAUUAAUACCGGAUGGCAUACGAAUAUCGCAUGAUAUUUUUAUUAAAGAAUUUCGGUUAUCGAUGGGGAUGCGUUCCAUUAGUUUGUUGGCGGGGUAACGGCCCACCGAGACUACGAUGGAUAGGGGUUCUGAGAGGAAGGUCCCCCACAUUGGAACUGAGACACGGUCCAA
RNAcentral lists this ribosomal RNA (250 nucleotides) under uncultured bacterium. RNAcentral's name for it is "partial 16S ribosomal RNA". It matches the Rfam family "Bacterial small subunit ribosomal RNA", at positions 83 to 334 of the family's 1533-position model. The record is from RNAcentral.